RNAcentral lists this ribosomal RNA (379 nucleotides) under Alcaligenes sp. RNAcentral's name for it is "bacterial SSU rRNA". It matches the Rfam family "Bacterial small subunit ribosomal RNA", at positions 355 to 726 of the family's 1533-position model. Lineage: Bacteria; Pseudomonadati; Pseudomonadota; Betaproteobacteria; Burkholderiales; Alcaligenaceae. The record is from RNAcentral.
UGGGGAAUUUUGGACAAUGGGGGAAACCCUGAUCCAGCCAUCCCGCGUGUAUGAUGAAGGCCUUCGGGUUGUAAAGUACUUUUGGCAGAGAAGAAAAGGUACCUCCUAAUACGAGGUACUGCUGACGGUAUCUGCAGAAUAAGCACCGGCUAACUACGUGCCAGCAGCCGCGGUAAUACGUAGGGUGCAAGCGUUAAUCGGAAUUACUGGGCGUAAAGCGUGUGUAGGCGGUUCGGAAAGAAAGAUGUGAAAUCCCAGGGCUCAACCUUGGAACUGCAUUUUUAACUGCCGAGCUAGAGUAUGUCAGAGGGGGGUAGAAUUCCACGUGUAGCAGUGAAAUGCGUAGAUAUGUGGAGGAAUACCGAUGGCGAAGGCAGCC